UAAUAUUUAUCUUUUCAAAUGUACGUUACUUGUCAUAUUUGUUUUAGGUCUGAGUUCUGUCUGUGAGUGUGUGAGUUUUGGUUCCACGACCUACAGUGUUUCCUAUAUUUUCCUUUAGUCAUAAAAUUAUUUAUGUUGUCUGCAUGAGUGUUGAAAAUGAAGAUACUGACAAUCAGUGAAGGAAGAAAUUGUAGAUUAUGUCACUAGAGUUUUUUGAAGCAAUCUGAUAAGAUACAUGCUAUCAUAGUACAUUCCUAAUAAGUGUUUUGGUUUGCAUAAUGCAAUUUCAUUUAACAAUGCUGCAUUGCUCUAUUUUUUUUCAUAGUUUUAGACUAGAAUUUAUAGAUUUGAAAAGUGUACUGUACAAUUUGAUUUUCUGGCAUUACAUUGACGAGGGAAGUUUUAGCUGUGAGUUUUCUGUGUCCUGUUUUAAGUUUUAGCAGAGCCAAAAGAGUUUCUUUUUUAUUUUCAGUGUAAUCUGGAUCUUUGUGGAUGUCCGCUGGUUUGGUUGGUUGAAUUACAAACCCAUCACAUGUCUUUGUCUCUGCUGUGGCUUUGCCCUGAGAGCAAAGGCACAUUUUCAGUGUGAACGUCUAUACCAAAACUAGUCAAAAUGAACCAAAUAGAUACAAAACAGAAGUACAUAGUUUGCGACACAAUUUUCUUUAUUCUAUUUUUCUUAUGUUUUUAAUAAAUUACCAUUAGUUCAAAUCGUGUGCAUGUAGAUUUUGGGGAGAUACCAGAAUGUUCAAGAAUACUCAGAAUGAGUCAGUCAGUUGUAUGUAUAUUGAGAGAAGGCAGACGUUGCAUUCUGUAUUAAUGUUGUUCAAAUAAAUGUUUCUGAAAUUAAGAAAGGUUCUGGUCAGUGUUUGUUUUUAAUAGCAGCAUGUUCUCCUUCUGCUCCCUUUUUACCUCCAUGUGUUCUUCCUAAACAUCCCCAAUUACCAGUCAUACGAUCCACCACAGUAAUAAAAGAUUUAGUCACAAAAGAUAACACGCAAACACACAAGCCCUACUCACUCCACAUACAUAACGCGAUCAACAACUUAACUCAUAGACAAGGAACAGUAAAAGCCAGGUUAACUAGCCCUCUCAGACACACACUGUGCUUUGCCAUGAUUAGUACAGUACACCCCAUGGACACAGCACAGUCAUCAGCUACUGGCUGUUCUCCUCGGAGGCAAGCGCGCAGAGCAGCGGCGUAAUUGGAGAAAGAGCACUGCCAUAGUUUGCCCGCAUUCCAGCCACUGCCUGAUAUGGACAGAGUGGUAAAGGGGCAGCCCCUGGGUGCCUGCCAGUAACCAGACACCCACCCGCCAAGCAGCGCUGCUGCCUGCCGCCACCAUUGCAGCCGUUACACCCUCUCACCCACCAACAGGUCACCGGGGAGGAUUACGGUACAAGGCAACUGCACUCUCCUGUGCCUCGAGAGAGAAGAAGAAGAGAAGGGAGGAGGGACAAGGAGGAACGAAAGGCAAGAAGGGAAACAGAGAGGCAGGAAGGAAGAAAAAGUGUGUACGACUGGAAGAGGACUGACUGCCAAACCAGUUACCAUUCCAGUGGAUUCCUCCUCUCUCUCUCUCUCUCUCUCUCUCCUUCUCUCUCAGUCACAUCUGUAUGCACCCUACUGCUCCAUCCCCUCUUGUUUCUCUCGGGGUCUUCUGUAACGUGUAGCACAGAGGCUGAGGACCAUGUCGCUGCCCCUGGAGCUGGGCCCCUACCACCGGGACCAGGCCCUGAACACACUGGAGAGGCAGCUCAUCUGCCCUAUCUGCCUUGAAGUUUUCACCAAGCCUGUGGUCAUCCUGCCCUGCCAGCACAACCUCUGCCGCAAGUGUGCCAACGAGCUCUACCAGCCGUCUCUGUUUCAGGUUGGUACCGGUGGGCGGUUCCGCUGUCCCUCCUGUCGGCAUGAGGUGGUUCUGGAUCGGCAUGGCGUGUACGGACUACAGCGCAACUUACUGGUGGAGAACAUCAUUGAUGUUUACAACCAGGAAUCUGCUUGUUCCAGGCCCCUGCCAAUAGUUCCAGUGCAACUGACCUGUGAGGAACAUGAGGGCGAGAAGGUCAACAUCUACUGCAUCUCCUGCAAAGUUCCCACCUGCUCUCUCUGCAAGGUUUUUGGAGCCCACAAGACCUGCCAGGUAGCCCCUCUGGCAGAGGUCUACCAGCAGCAGAAGGCUGAACUCAAUGAUGGGAUCGUCUCAGUCGUGGCCAGAAAUGACCAAGUCCAGGCUGCCAUCAGUGAAAUAGAGGAGAUCUGUCAGACAGUAGAGGAGAACAGCAAAACCCAGAAGCAGGCUCUUUGUGAGAAGUUUGAACGUCUGUCUACUAUCUUAGAAGAGCGCCGGAAAAUCAUGAUGCAACACAUCACUUAUGAACAGGAUGAGAAGACAAACCAUACUCGAUCUCUGGUGAGGACCUAUGGAGAGCAUGUGGACGCUAACACCAAGCUGGCGGAGACUGCCCUGCACACCAUGGAGGAGCCUGAAAUGGCUGCCUUUGUUCAGAACGCAAAGAUUCUUAUUGAGAGAGUCAAUGAGGCUGCCAACGCCUAUGUUGUGGAAAAACUUGAGCCUGGCUAUGAAAACAUGGACCACUACAAGGCGGAUUUCAAUGCAGAGGAGAGGGCUCUCUCCCAACUUGACUUCGUCAAGACUGAAGAAGAGGAGGAGGUGCCAGAGGAGCAAGAGCAAGAGCCUGAGACAGAACCUGAACCCAUUCCAGAACCAGUGGAAGAAUUGGAACCAGAACCAGAGCCUGAAGCCAACCUUGAUCCCAUCUUAGAUCUUCCCCCUGAGGCAGACGAUACCGAACCAGUAUUGGAGCUGAAGCCUGAGACGUGGGCCAUCAAGGACUCAGAGGAAGAGGCUAGGGAGGAGGUUCGGGGCGAGGCCGAGGGUUGCUCAGACCCUAAAAUGGCGGAGCUUUGUAUACAAGAAGGGAUAAGCACCCAGCAGGCUGUCACCUUCUUCUUUUACUUCCUGGCUUUGAUGGUCAUUCUUCAGCGGGUUUGGGGGCACAUUCAGUGCAUCAUUUGUACAUAGCAGAGAAGGAAGAGCCAAUUUUCCAGGGUCACCCCCCUUCAGUGGGACCCCAGGACGGGAGAGUGAUGGAGCAGAGCAUUGGGUCAGCUUCUGACCCCAGCCCUGGUAACCCCUUGUGGCUGGACAUGUAGGGUGACAGGGCAGACAGGCAGGUCAGUCAGUCUUUAGCACCGGCAUACCCUGUGCAGGCAAGGCCCAGUCUUCCUGCCAGCAGUGAGUCUGCACGCCUGAGCUUCUCAUUCUCCUGGCUGAACGCUCUCUCCAAAAAGGCAAAGUAGUGAGAGCCUUGUGUCAAGCAAUGCCCCGCACAGACAUCCAUGAAGGGCAAACUGUAAAUGAAGACCUGCAGGUGAAAGUAUGCUGAUUCCAGCCAGUUCUUGUUCUGAAGAAGACCUGUCUAUGCUUGUACUUUUCUGCAGACAGUGGAACAGACAGAUUAUUUCUUGCCCUCUAUUAUGAAUUGUCAAAUCGAAUAAUUUCUUUUUUAUUCUUCCGACUGACCUUAGAAAAAUGACAUCUUUGAGUUUUUAGCUAUCCAUAUGCAAUGUGCACAUUUACUAUUAUUAGGUACGGAUUUGCACCUUCCCCGAGAUGUAUUAUUUGAUUGCUGUGUUCAAUAUGUCUCAAUGUUUCUGAGCUAUGGCUAUUCUAGGCCCACUGUUUGGGCCAGUAUUUUUCAGUUGUUUUAGAGACAUACACCGUAGUUGAUAAUUAAUAGUUCCCUUGAACACAUUUUCUCUUAACUCUCAUUGAUGAUUUUAUGUCUAUCAGUACAAGAUGUUGAAUGUGUGAUGUCAUUCAGUGAUUGUAGAAUAAAGGGCAUGAACCAUAAA
Molecule: RNA transcript, 3880 nt
Organism: Clupea harengus (Atlantic herring)
Lineage: Eukaryota; Metazoa; Chordata; Actinopteri; Clupeiformes; Clupeidae
Gene: trim101
Gene name: tripartite motif containing 101
Source: RefSeq, a predicted model, not a curated record